UAGCAUUCCAUGUAGACUUUUGGCACUGCAUGGUCGAAACCAAAACAACACCAAUUGUCGUUCACACAUGGCGUGGGACGCCUUUUAGGGGCAAAUAGAGACCGGAGAUGCCUCGUACCCGCGAGGUAUUCAAAUGACCGUGAGAACGAACGUCAUGCCAUCCAUCCAACAACCCAAGAACAUCGAAGAAAUCGGGGGUUCGAUGAUGGCAUU
This 213-nucleotide unclassified non-coding RNA is filed under the name Hemiboea subcapitata. Its description in RNAcentral is "partial external transcribed spacer". Lineage: Eukaryota; Viridiplantae; Streptophyta; Magnoliopsida; Lamiales; Gesneriaceae. The record is from RNAcentral.